GCAAGUCGAGCGAGAAAGGUCUUCGGACUGAGUACAGCGGCGGACGGGUGAGUAACGCGUAGGAAUCUACCCAGUAGUGGGGGACAACAUGGUGAAAACCAUGCUAAUACCGCAUACGCCCUAAGGGGGAAAGCGGGGGACCUUCGGGCCUCGUGCUAUUGGAUGAGCCUGCGUAGGAUUAGCUUGUUGGUGAGGUAAAGGCUCACCAAGGCGACGAUCCUUAGCUGGUCUGAGAGGAUGAUC
RNAcentral lists this ribosomal RNA (243 nucleotides) under uncultured bacterium. Its description in RNAcentral is "partial 16S ribosomal RNA". It matches the Rfam family "Bacterial small subunit ribosomal RNA", at positions 57 to 305 of the family's 1533-position model. The record is from RNAcentral.